CCACGAGUACAUCUACACCAGCAGCACCUCAGGCGCCUCCAGUUGCUCCUCCACCUCAGGCGACUACAGUUGAUCAUCCAGUUGGGCCAAUCACUCGGGCCCGUGCGAGAGAAUUAAACUUCAUCAUGCUGUUAAGGAACGAAGGCCGAGCGGAAUAAGAAGAUGGCCCAAUAGGGCAGCCCAGGUGGGGCGCCUAGGGUUGGGAGCCGCGGCCCUCCCCCUGGUCGCGCGCACCCCCCUCCUGCCGUCGCGCCUCCUCUGGACUCCAGGGGCUGCGCCCCCUUUAUUUAGUCGGAGUCCCUUUUGUUUACGAAUUGAGUUUUGUUUUACAUCUAGCUUUAGCUACUCUUGAACACGCGCAAAUACGCGCUGUCCUUGUGUGAUUCAGAACUCCACCUUCGACUGAUAUUUAGAUUGCUCGCCUCUUUUUCUUGUUCGUUCUUCGAUUGCGGAUAGGAAUCGAUCUUCGUGAUCAGGCUGAUCUUGCGCUGGCAAGGUUGGUAACCACAGGAAGUUGGUUCAGUGAUUGCAUUGGUGCUUCGGGUUCGCUCGUCGUAGUCAGAUCGUGAGGGUCUACUUCCACCAAGUCGAAUUUAUCUCCACUCACCGAAAGAUCGGGCACUCCGACUCUAUCAAGUGGUAUCAGCUUUCCAGGUUGAUCGGUGAGUUUUACCGAGUGUUUUUCCCUUCCUACAUUCCACAAAAAGCAAAACAAAUUUUUUUCAGGUUAGAUCCUUGUCCCAGCAACCGUUUAGCCUCGCACAUUCUUUCAAUAAUUAUCUUUGUUGAAUUUGUGUGCCUACUCGUUCCAUUGUUGCUGGUUACUUGUGUUUAAUCUCUUGUUUCUCAUUUUUCCUCUAACCCUAGUUUUCGCCGCCGCCGCCGUUCCGCUGCUCGCCAACCCUACCACGCCGCGCCCACCGGCCCCCUUCGCGACAACCGUGCCGCGCCAUCCCACCCCUCCGAUCGCCCCCUCCCCUGUCCAAAAAAAAAGAAAGAUAGAAAGCAAUAAAAAAAAAGGAAAGUGCAAAAAAAAAGGAAAGAAGCAAAAAAAAAAAGAAUCCAACAGGGAGAAGGAAGGUGAUCCGGUUUUGUUUCGGUGGAAACUCCCUUUGCGCGCGCCGUGAACCCCCCUGGGUCACGACACUCCUGGGGAACCCCGCACCCCCCACGCAUCCUGUGCCAGCUUUUCAUAUCCGUAUCUCUCUUUCUUGGUACAUUUUUCUGAGGUUCUCUCUUUUUUUACCGGAAUACCCCUGUACUUUCGGAAAAAGUGUGUGCCGCAAUUUGCUGUUUGUGAUCCUCUGUGUUCAUAUUAUCAGUUUUGGGCACCCUGCAAAAAAAAACAAAACAAAAAGAAAACAAAAGAGGUGCGCCCUCUCCACCUUUGCCUCUGUUCUUUCGAUUUCCCUUGUUACCAGCAACUCUUGUUACGUGUUUGGCACUAUAAUUCAACUUUGCAUUAUUGUUUGAUUGUGCUAAUCCUUCAUUUGAGUGCAGCCUUCCCAAAAAUCCACAUAGUUCUACGACAAGCAGCUUUUGUUUCUCUAGGCAAUCGCUCCUCCAAUCUUUCACAAGUUCCACCGGUUGGUUGCAGUUCGCCCCUGUGUGCGUGGUAAGAACGGAUAAGAAUUUGAUAACAGCACUAGUGUGAGCGCCUUGUGAGCCGUUACACCCCUGUUUUGUCGUCGCUUUUGUUCUUGUAUUUGCGCUAACCAUGGCAGAUGAUGUCGACACGGGGGCUAACGAGCUGCAGGGCAUACGGGCACAAGUUGAAGGGCUUGUCACCGACAUUCAGACGAUUCAUGAACAGCUGGACUCGACGAUCUCCUCGACGACCAAGAGGUGUGAUUAGCUCGACCUUGCACAGACGGCCGCUAAGGCCACACUCGACUCAGUUGUGGCAAGACUCGAUGCCUUUCACACAACAGUCGCAGAGUUGCAGCAGGGUUAUGGUGGUGACUCGAACCAGGACGAUGGCGACCGCCGAGGCCGUGCCCGCCGCGUGCCACGCCGUCCUGAUAAUGAUUCCUUUUCCAAGAUUAAAUUUAAAAUUCCACCUUUUAAUGGCAAAUAUGAUCCUACUGCAUAUCUUGAUUGGGAAUUAGAAGUUGAACAGAAAUUUUCAUGCCAUGAUAUUCUUGCUAAUUCUCAAGUUAAAGCUGCUAUUAGUGAAUUUACUGAUUUUGCUUUAAUUUGGUGGCGUGAAUAUAAACACAAACAUCCCAAUACCAUUCCAACCACUUGGGAGCAAUUAAAAACUGCUAUGCGCCAAAGAUUUGUGCCUUCUUAUUAUGCCCGAGAUUUGCUUAAUAAAAUGCAACGUUUUCAGCAAGGUUCCAAAUCUGUUGAGGAAUAUUUCCAGGAAUUACAAAUAGGCAUGAUUCGUUGUGGAUUAUUGGAGGAAAAUGACGCUGCUAUGGCACGUUUUCGUGGUGGUUUGAACCGCGAAAUUCAGGAUAUACUUGAUUAUAAGGACUACACAGAUAUGACAACAUUAUUUGAAUAUGCUUGCAAAGCUGAACGUGAAGUGCAGGGACGCCGCUCGAAGACAUAUUCUAACUCUUUUGCAGGAAGAAGCUCGACAUCCAACUCCGCACCCGCUCUCCCUGCGCCACCCACGCCCACCACUACACCGCGCGAGUGAACAGCCAAACCUGCAAGCGCUGCCCCUUCCACAGGUGCCGCCCCUCCCACAGGCCGUACACGGGAUAUUCAGUGUCAUCGUUGCAAAGGAUUUGGCCACGUGAUUCGGGACUGUCCGAACAAGCGCACUUUGCUUCUUCGUGACGAUGGUGAGUACUCUUCCGCUAGUGAUUCUGAAGAUACUCGACAUGCGAUGCUUGCCACUGACCAUGCAGCUAUGGAGGUACAUGUCAACCCGGGCGACGCCGAUAGGUAUGAAAGUCUUGUUGUGCAGCGUGUUCUUAGUACACAGGUCACCCCGUCCGAGAAGAAUCAGCGACACACUCUUUUCCAUACCAAGGGCGUUGUGUAGGAGCGGUCGAUUCGCAUCAUCAUCGACAGCGGCAGCUGCAACAAUUUGGCGAGUACCACGCUGGUUGAAAAGUUAUCUUUACCCACUCGUAAGCAUCCACAUCCAUAUCACAUUCAAUGGCUUAAUGAUGGUGGGAAAAUUAGAAUUACUCGAUCAGUCCGUGUUCCUUUCUCCAUGGGUGCUUAUUCUGAUUUUGUCGAUUGUGAUGUUAUUCCCAUGGAAGCAUGCUCUCUGUUACUUGGGCGACCAUGGCAAUAUGAUACUGAUAGCUUGCAUCAUGGUCGUUCAAAUCACUAUUCUUUCAUGUUUAAGGGUCAGAAAAUAAUUAUACAUCCAAUGACACCUGAACAAAUUCUUAAAGAUGAUCUUGCUAGAGCUGCUAAAACUGCUAAACAACUUGACGCAUCGCCAUCUGUUAAUUCUGAAAUCAAGUUGAAUGCUCCUGUUUUGCUUGCCACAUGUGCUGAUUUUGAUGAGUUACGCGAUGCUCCUUUGCCAUGCUAUGCCCUUAUAUGCUAACAUUUUUGCAGGAGUACGCUGAUGUCUUUCCAAAAGAUUUGCCACCGGGACUCCCACCACUUCGUGGCAUUGAGCACCAGAUCCACCUCAUUCCCGGCGCACAGCUUCCGAACCGCGCACCGUAUCGGACAAAUCCAGAUGAGACGAAGGAAAUCUAGCGCCAGGUACAGGUGUUGCUUGACAAGGGUUAUAUUCGUGAGUCUCUUAGCCCUUACUCCGUUCCCGUGUUACUUGUUCCAAAGAAAGAUGGCUUAUGGCGUAUGUGUGUAGACUGUCGUGCUACUAAUAACAUUACCAUUCGCUACGGAUACCCUAUACCACGCCUUGAUGAUAUGCUAGAUGAGCUUAGUGGUGCCAUUAUUUUCACUAAGAUUGAUUUGCGUAGUGGCUACCAUCAGAUUCGCAUGAAAUUAGGUGAUGAAUGGAAAAUGGCUUUUAAAACAAAAUUUGGGUUAUAUGAAUGGUUGGUUAUGCCGUUUGGUUUGACAAAUGCUCCCAGCACAUUUAUGCGUUUGAUGAAUGAAGUUCUGAGGCCGUUCAUAGGAUUGUUUGUAGUUGUCUAUUUUGAUGAUAUCCUCAUUUACAGCAAGUCUAUGGAAGAGCAUUUAGAAUAUUUACGUGCUGUUUUUGAUGCGUUGCGUGCGGCCCAUUUAUUUGCUAACCUCGAAAAAUGCAUGUUUUGCACACAACGUGUCUCGUUUCUUGACUAUGUUGUUACUCCACAGGGCAUUGAGGUGGAUAGCAGCAAGAUCGAUGCCAUUCAGGAGUGGCCUACACCAACGACGGUCACACAAAUUCGAAGCUUUCUUGGCCUUGCAGGUUUCUACCGCCGGUUUGUUCGUGAUUUUAGCUCCAUUGCAGCGCCUCUACAUGAGCUUACAAAGAAGGAUGUUCCCUUUGCUUGGAGUGAUUCGCAAGAGGUUGCGUUCAGCACCUUGAAAGAUAAGUUAACCAAUGCUCCUCUCUUGCAGUUGCCUGAUUUUACUAAAGUGUUUGAGCUUGAAUGCGAUGGUAGCGGUAUUGGGCUAGGUGCUGUUUUGUUACAAGAAGGAAAACCGGUUGCUUACUUUAGCGAGAAAUUAAGUGGUGCUAGUUUGAAUUAUUCUACUUAUGAUAAGGAGCUUUAUGCUUUAGUGCGUACUUUGCAUACUUGGCAGCACUACCUUUGGCAUCGCGAGUUUAUAAUUCAUUCUGAUCAUGAGGCUUUAAAACAUAUUCGUACCCAAACAAACCUGAACCGUCGUCAUGCUAAAUGGGUAGAAUUCAUUGAGUCUUUCCCUUACAUUAUUAAACACAAGAGCGGGAAGGAAAAUGUCAUUGUUGAUGCUUUGUCUCGUCGCUAUACCAUGCUGUCACAGAUAGAUUUUAAAAUCUUUAGCUUGCAAACUGUGAAGGAUCAAUAUGUGGACGAUGCUGAUUUUAACGAUGCUUUCGCCCAUUGUAUUCAUGGCAAACCAUGGGGCAAAUUUCGCGCUAACAAGCUGUGUGUUCCAGCUAGCUCGGUUUGUUGUUUGUUGUUACAGGAAGCGCAUGGAGGCGGUCUCAUGGGGCACUUUGGCGUCAACAAGACGCAUGAAGUGCUGGCUGCCCACUUCCUUUGGCGCCGGAUGCGCGCUGAUGUUGAGCGCCUUGUUGCAUGCUGCACUACUUGCCAGAAAGCUAAGUCACGAUUGAACAACCAUGGUUUGUACAUGCCUUUGCCUGUUCCUACUGCCCCUUGGCUUGAUAUUUCUAUGGACUUUGUUUUGGGAUUGCCUAGAACUAAGAAGGGGAGGGACAGUAGUUUUGUGUUUGUUGAUCGUUUCUCCAAAAUGGCUCAUUUUAUACCUUGUCAUAAGACUGAUGAUGCUAGCAAUGUUGUUGAAUUGUUCUUUCGCGAGAUUAUUUGUUUGCAUGGUAUUCCAAAUACAAUAGUCUCUGAUCGUGAUGCUAAGUUUCUCAGUCAUUUUUGUAGAUCAUUGUGGAAUAAAAUUGGAAUAAAAUGGGAACUAAAUUGCUGUUUAGCACCACUUGUCACCCUCAGACUGAUGGACAAACUGAGGUGGUUAAUCAAACAUUGUCCACCAUGCUUAGGGCUUUUUUAGAUAAACACUUGAAACAUUGGGAAGAUUGCUUGCCUCAUGUUGAGUUUGCUUAUAAUCAUGCAACACAUUCUUCUACAAAGAUGUGUCCCUUUCAGGUUGUUUAUGGUUAUAUUCCUCGGGCGCCCAUUGAUUUGUUUGCACUUGAUGUCGAGGAUGCCCCACACAGAGAUGCCACUGCACAUGUUGAUCAAAUGAUUAGCUUGCAUGAGCAAACUCAACAAAACAUUGCUGCUGCUAAUGCUAAAUAUCAGGUUGUGGGUAGCAAAGGGAGAAAACAUGUUACUUUUGAACUGGGUGAUCUGGUUUGGUUGCAUUUGAGAAAGGAUCGUUUUCCUACUUUACGUCGUUCUAAAUUGAUGCCAUGUGCUGCUGGUCCUUUUAAAGUGCUAACCAAGAUUAAUGAUAAUGCUUAUAUCCUUGACCUGCCUGUGGAGUUUGGUGUUUCCACAAGUUUUAAUGUUGCAGAUUUGAAACCGUAUGCGGGCGGAGAUGAGUUGCCGUCGAGGACGACUUCAGUUCAAGAAGGGGAGGAUGAUGAGGACACAUCGAGUACAUCUACACCAGCAACACCUCAGGUGCCUCCAGUUGCUCCUCCACCUCAGGCGACUACAGUUGAUCAUCCAGUUGGGCCAAUCACUCGGGCCCGUGCGAGAGAAUUAAACUUCAUCAUGCUGUUAAGGAACGAAGGCCCAGCGGAAUAAGAAGAUGGCCCAACAGGGCAGCCCAGGUGGGACGCCUAGGGUUGGGAGCCGUGGCCCUCCCCCUGGUCGCGCGCCCCCCCCUCCUGCUGUCGCGCCUCCUCCGGACUCCAGGGGCUGCGCCCCCUUUAUUUAGUCGGAGUCCCUUUUGUUUACGACUUGAGUUUUGUUUUACAUCUAGCUUUAGCUACUCUUGAACACGCGCAAAUACGCGCUGUCCUUGUGUGAUUCAGAACUCCACCUUCGACUGAUAUUUAGAUUGCUCGCCUCUUUUUCUUGUUCGUUCUUC
This 6588-nucleotide long non-coding RNA is filed under the name Setaria viridis. Its description in RNAcentral is "long non-coding RNA (SVIR_LNC009254)". The record is from RNAcentral. Lineage: Eukaryota; Viridiplantae; Streptophyta; Magnoliopsida; Poales; Poaceae.